GUUGAAGAACGCAGCGAAAUGCGAUAAGUAAUGUGAAUUGCAGAAUUCAGUGAAUCAUCGAAUCUUUGAACGCACAUUGCGCCCGCCAGUAUUCUGGCGGGCAUGCCUGUUCGAGCGUCAUUUCAACCAUCAAGCCCCAGGCUUGUGUUGGGGACCUGCGGCUGCCGCAGGCCCUGAAAACCAGUGGCGGGCUCGCUGUCACACCGGGCGUAGUAGAUUUUAUCUCGCUCAGGGCGUGCUGCGGGUCCCGGCCGUUAAAAGCCUUUUUUUACCCAAGGUUGACCUCGGAUCAGGUAGGAAGACCCGCUGAACUUAAGCAUAUCAAUAAGCGGAGGA
This 336-nucleotide unclassified non-coding RNA is filed under the name soil metagenome. RNAcentral's name for it is "partial contains 5.8S ribosomal RNA, internal transcribed spacer 2, and large subunit ribosomal RNA". The stretch from base 1 to 120 matches the Rfam family "5.8S ribosomal RNA", at positions 35 to 154 of the family's 154-position model. The record is from RNAcentral.